Molecule: long non-coding RNA, 1660 nt
Organism: Lycium ferocissimum
Lineage: Eukaryota; Viridiplantae; Streptophyta; Magnoliopsida; Solanales; Solanaceae
Exons: 2
Source: RefSeq, a predicted model, not a curated record
GCUUCAGGUGAAAAAAAAUAGCUCUAACUUUCUUUAUAGCUUAUACUAUAUGCUUAUUGCUUAUUACUUAUUACUUAGCUUACUUAGCUACUAAAAUAUUCCUUUUACAGUUUUUCAGAAGGCCAUUAAGAUACAUUCUUACAUAGCAAUGAGGCCAUUGUUGUUGAACAUGAUGAGAAGAUAUACAAAACAAAGAAAUUUGGUGAAACCGGCUAAGACAAGAUUUGCAACGGCCUUUCUUAACUUUGCAAUCUUUUUACAUGCAAAAGAAAAACUUGAGAACUAUGAUCUUCUCAACCGAAUGGACAGAAAGUAGAUUUGCAAAGGAACUUUUGGGAAAAGAAGUUGUCAGACAUCUUACUUCUACAUCUUUUUGGAAUGAUGUUGUUAGGGCACUUAAAGUUGGUUCUCCUUUGAUAGUAGCGCUUCGCUUGGUGGAUGGAGGAAAAAAACCAUCAAUGGGCUAUAUUUAUGAAGCAAUGGAUAGAGCCAAAGAAGCUAUUGAAAAGGGUUUUCAUGGUGAUCGGAAGCAAUAUGAGAAAGUUUUCGAAAUCAUUGAUCGGCGGUGGACGGACCAACUUCAUAGACCUUUGCAUGCGGCGGGCCAUAUUUUGAACCGGAAUGUUUUACACUAAUUAUCAAAAUAAGACUUUAUCAACGAAGUGUGGCAAGGUUACCUUGAAUGUGUUGGUAAGAUGGUCCCUAAUGGAACACAAGAUGCUCUCAUCAAAGAGCUUCGUAUGUAUAAACAUGCAAUGGGGACUUUUGGUAUGCCUCAGGCUAUAAGAAACAGAGACAAAACAUCCCCUUCUGAAUGGUGGUCGGUAUUUGGUAAUCAUACCCCAAACUUGCAACAGCUUGCCAUAAGAGUAUUAAGUUUAACUUGUAGCGCAUCCGGAUGCGAGAGAAAUUGGAGCGUGUUUGAACAUGUGAGAAGAAGAUUUAUUAUAUUCUAAUUUCUAAAUACAUUAUUAUUAGUAUCUACUAAUUAGUUUCUACAACUUAUGCGCGAUUCAUACCAAAAAGAGGAAUAGGCUUGAACUAUCGCGUCUCAACAAUCUAGUGUACAUUAAGUACAAUAGAACAUUGAGGCGUCGUUAUGAUGUUGGCGAUACCGUUGAUCCAAUUCUGUUGGAUAAUAUUGACGAAGCAAAUGAAUGGUUAAUUGGAUGCCCCCAAAAUGAAGAAGAGGAACUAGUAUAUGAGGGAUGUGAUCUUGAUUGGGGUACUGUUUCUAGGGCGUGCAGAGUUGAGGAGAAUAUCUAUGGUCUUAGGGCGGUUCUUCAAGUUCAAGGUCACAUAACAAGGGCAAAAGAGUAGCUACUACUGCUACAAGCUCACUUCGGUCUCGGUGCUUAAUUGAUGAAAACUCCGAGUCCGAGACCGAGAUUGACACCGAGACCGAGCCCGAGCCCGAGGAGGAAGAAGAUGAGGAGCAAUAUAAUGUUGAGAAUCUUGGAUAUCAAGAAUUUGGAAAUCUUGAAGAUCUUGAAUUUGAAUAGACUUUUAGUAUUGCACUAUUGCUUUAAUUUUAGUGUUGCUUGUCUUGUCACUUAUGAAUUAUUGAGUCAUUGACUUAUUCAAGUUCUAGACUUUUAGUAUCUACUAUCUACCUUUAAUUUUUGAAUUGAAAUAUUUGCUAAUAUGUUAUUGCUAGUGA